This 69-nucleotide transfer RNA is filed under the name Scinax tripui. RNAcentral's name for it is "tRNA-Val". It matches the Rfam family "tRNA". From Rfam's summary of the family: Transfer RNA (tRNA) molecules are approximately 80 nucleotides in length. The record is from RNAcentral. Lineage: Eukaryota; Metazoa; Chordata; Amphibia; Anura; Hylidae.
CAAAACAUAGCUUAACUAAAGUAUCUCGCCUACACCGAGAAGAUAUCUGUUAAACCCAGGUCGUUUUGA